RNAcentral lists this ribosomal RNA (489 nucleotides) under uncultured bacterium. Its description in RNAcentral is "partial 16S ribosomal RNA". It matches the Rfam family "Bacterial small subunit ribosomal RNA", at positions 30 to 506 of the family's 1533-position model. The record is from RNAcentral.
AUUGAACGCUGGCGGCAGGCCUAACACAUGCAAGUCGAACGGUAACAGGAAGCAGCUUGCUGCUUUGCUGACGAGUGGCGGACGGGUGAGUAAUGUCUGGGAAACUGCCCGAUGGAGGGGGAUAACUACUGGAAACGGUAGCUAAUACCGCAUAACGUCGCAAGACCAAAGAGGGGGACCUUAGGGCCUCUUGCCAUCGGAUGUGCCCAGAUGGGAUUAGCUAGUAGGUGGGGUAACGGCUCACCUAGGCGACGAUCCCUAGCUGGUCUGAGAGGAUGACCAGCCACACUGGAACUGAGACACGGUCCAGACUCCUACGGGAGGCAGCAGUGGGGAAUAUUGCACAGUGGGCGCAAGCCUGAUGCAGCCAUGCCGCGUGUAUGAAGAAGGCCUUCGGGUUGUAAAGUACUUUCAGCGGGGAGGAAGGGAGUAAAGUUAAUACCUUUGCUCAUUGACGUUACCCGCAGAAGAAGCACCGGCUAACUCCGU